RNAcentral lists this ribosomal RNA (1387 nucleotides) under metagenome. RNAcentral's name for it is "bacterial SSU rRNA". It matches the Rfam family "Bacterial small subunit ribosomal RNA". The record is from RNAcentral.
CAUCGGAACGUACCUUUCAGUGGGGGAUAACGUAGCGAAAGUUACGCUAAUACCGCAUAUUCUGUGAGCAGGAAAGCAGGGGAUCGCAAGACCUUGCGCUGAUGGAGCGGCCGAUGUCAGAUUAGCUAGUUGGUGGGGUAAAGGCUCACCAAGGCGACGAUCUGUAGCGGGUCUUAGAGGAUGAUCCGCCACACUGGAACUGAGACACGGUCCAGACUCCUACGGGAGGCAGCAGUGGGGAAUUUUGGACAAUGGGCGCAAGCCUGAUCCAGCCAUGCCGCGUGAGUGAAGAAGGCCUUCGGGUUGUAAAGCUCUUUCGGCCGGGAAAAAAUCGCUUGGGUUAAUACCCUAAGUGGAUGAUGGUACCGGAAUAAGAAGCACCGGCUAACUACGUGCCAGCAGCCGCGGUAAUACGUAGGGUGCGAGCGUUAAUCGGAAUUACUGGGCGUAAAGCGUGCGCAGGCGGUUUUGUAAGACAGGCGUGAAAUCCCCGGGCUCAACCUGGGAACUGCGUUUGUGACUGCAAGGCUAGAGUAUGGCAGAGGGGGGUGGAAUUCCACGUGUAGCAGUGAAAUGCGUAGAGAUGUGGAGGAACACCAAUGGCGAAGGCAGCCCCCUGGGCCAAUACUGACGCUCAUGCACGAAAGCGUGGGGAGCAAACAGGAUUAGAUACCCUGGUAGUCCACGCCCUAAACGACGUCAACUAGGUGUUGGGUGGGUAAAACCAUUUGGCACCGUAGCUAACGCGUGAAGUUGACCGCCUGGGGAGUACGGCCGCAAGGUUAAAACUCAAAGGAAUUGACGGGGACCCGCACAAGCGGUGGAUGAUGUGGAUUAAUUCGAUGCAACGCGAAAAACCUUACCUACCCUUGACAUGCCAGGAACUUGCCAGAGAUGGCUUGGUGCCCGAAAGGGAGCCUGGACACAGGUGCUGCAUGGCUGUCGUCAGCUCGUGUCGUGAGAUGUUGGGUUAAGUCCCGCAACGAGCGCAACCCUUGUCGUUAAUUGCCAUCAUUUAGUUGGGCACUUUAACGAGACUGCCGGUGACAAACCGGAGGAAGGUGGGGAUGACGUCAAGUCCUCAUGGCCCUUAUGGGUAGGGCUUCACACGUCAUACAAUGGUCGGUACAAGGGGUUGCCAAGCCGCGAGGCGGAGCCAAUCCCAGAAAGCCGAUCGUAGCCCGGAUCGCAGGCUGCAACUCGCCUGCGUGAAGUCGGAAUCGCUAGUAAUCGUGGAUCAGCAUGUCACGGUGAAUACGUUCCCGGGUCUUGUACACACCGCCCGUCACACCAUGGGAGCGGGUUCCGCCAGAAGUAGGUAGCCUAACCGCAAGGAGGGCGCUUACCACGGCGGGGUUCGUGACUGGGGUGAAGUCGUAACAAGGUA